This 321-nucleotide ribosomal RNA is filed under the name uncultured eukaryote. RNAcentral describes it as "partial 18S ribosomal RNA". It matches the Rfam family "Eukaryotic small subunit ribosomal RNA", at positions 1470 to 1796 of the family's 1831-position model. The record is from RNAcentral.
CCCUUAGAUGUCCUGGGCUGCACGCGUGCUACCAUGGCAUUUACAACAAGGUCGCUAACUCGAAAGAGCAAGCAAAUCUUAGAAAUGAUGUCGUGAUCGGGACAGUUGAUUGCAAUUAUUCGACUCGAACGAGGAAUGCCUUGUAAUCGCGAUUCAUCAGAUCGCGAUGAAUACGUCCCUGCCCUUUGUACACACCGCCCGUCGCUCCUACCGAUUGAGCGAUCCGGUGAAUAAUUCGGACUGCAGCACUGCUUGGUCUCCAGGCUUUGCAGCGGAAAGUUUAGUGAACCUUAUCACUUAGAGGAAGGAGAAGUCGUAACA